CCAGUCUUGGCUUUGCUCUGGGUGUGAGGGGUUUGUGCUGGUUUCCAGUUGGUUGCUGAAGCAACUAUCACUACCGACAGGGAAAGUUGCAGCUGGUGUUGAUGAACCUUAAUGAAGUUUAAAGCAGGAGUCAAAGUCUGCUGAUGACCAUGGUUGCUUUCUUUGUCUUUGCUUCAAGUUUAUGCUGAAUUACCCAUUAGACAGUUAUGAAGAAGGAAAAAGAGCAGUGCUUCUGUUGGGUGACAUGAAAUGCAUCUCAGGUUACCUGAUGAAUGUGUCGUACCCCUCCUAAAUAUCAAGUCAUGAACCUGAAAAUAAAUUCAAAAGCCAUACCAAUUUUUGAGUCCUAGAGCCUUGCUUCUGAGAGUGGAGCCUAUAAACCUAGACCUCUGGUAAUGAUUUGGGGAGUAGUUCUCAGGUUUAUUGAGCUGGUGUAUUAGAUUUCCUGCUGCAUGAGCAAGAAGAUUAUGGUGGCUUACGUCUAAGUGUACUUUUGGGAGGCAUUUUGUAUUUUCCCUAUAAAUAGUCUUUCUAAAACACAAUUGUGGAACUAUUAAUGUUUAUAUCGCAUUAUACAUCUCUCUAAGUUUACUGUGCUGAGUAUACAGUGUGGUAGCAAGAGGAAAUCUUUUUGUCUAAGAAACAUUUUCAGAAUUGUCAUUGUUAAAAGGCUACUAAAAGGCAGGUUUGUUAUAUUUAUCUUUUUAUCUGUAAGGUGUUUUUGGCUUAUUACACCGAGUCAUUCCUGUUUUCAACAAUAGUAAAAUUACAUCUCUUAAGGAGUUAAGCUCUUCAAUAGAACUUACAAAUGUUAAACUUCCAGCAGAAGUGUGGGCAUCCUGGCUAUUCCUUUUGUGUCGGAAAAACAUCAAACGAGUCCAUUGCAAUUAUAAGCUCUUCACAGAUAAACCUUGGACUUGGGACUGAGAGCGUGUGCAUAGUAAAACUUGUAUUUUACACUGUAUAAACUUUUUCUUAAUAAAUGCAUUCUUUUUCUUAUGUAAUUUAAAGAAAAAAGCAAUGGAAACAUCCUUCAUCCUAAGAUAAAUUGAAAAUAUAUGUAGGAAGGAAGGAAGCAGAGGAAGUUCAUAUGUGUAUUAUAUUACUGAUGUAUAUUCUGUUUUGAGAAUAAUUUAAUGAGCAAUUUCUUCACGAUUAAUAAGAAGAUGCCACAGGCCUAACUCUGCAAGGUCCCUUGGAACCAUUUAUUCAUCUGUAUGUGAACAGCCAGUUUCAAUAUUUUUAAAAACAGAACAUGAGCGAAACAAACGGUUAGUGUCCCUCUGUCCAGUAAAAUGAAAGAUUAUCAUCUCAAGCAGUGGCUGUCAGGUGGACCAGGUACAGCUCUGCAUCCUCCUUAGGUUCAGAUGCAGGGUGACGUGCGGGUAAUCUGCAAUUUGCUGGGGGCAUCGUUAGCUGCUUUGCCUCCGGGGUAGGAUUUGAAGCAGGCCUGGAGCAGCUGUGUGCCAGGUGGGUUGGGGAGGGAUGCUCGAUGCCCCGCCAUCACCCACUGGAGUUGGUGCCAAAGCCCCAGUGACACGGAGGAGGCAUUAGGUCACAUGAGUUACAUUAAGUGGCAAGUGAUAAAUUCAAGAUGACAAUUCAAAACAGCGGUGUUUCUCCCAGUAAUUAAUUCCAGUGGUGCCUGAGGCGGUGCUUGGUUGCUACAACCAGUGUGGCCAAAGCUGAGCAGCUAAUGAGAAAACAUUACAGCAAGGAUUAGGGGCCAGUGCAUUCUGGCAGGAUGAGGUCACUAUGAUUAGAAAGUAUUAAUGCAGGUUUACUGAGAUAAACUAUGACAAAGAAACUUUGUAUUAUUUGUGAGUGGUUAAAAUGAAG
This is a long non-coding RNA of Oxyura jamaicensis (ruddy duck), 1839 nucleotides long. RefSeq lists it as uncharacterized. NCBI's taxonomy places the organism in Eukaryota, Metazoa, Chordata, Aves, Anseriformes, Anatidae. The record is from RefSeq and is a predicted model, not a curated record. The transcript has 6 exons.